ACGCACAGGAGCCCACACAGUGCCUGGCAGUAUGAAUCUCUCCACUGGGACUGAAAACAAAAGCCUCACAGAUGAUGCAUCCAAGGAGACAAGAUCAGGGGGAGCCCACCCAUCAGGCAGGAUGCCCCUCAGAGGGACAUCCGAGAGCAGCAGACCUGGAAUGCCAGCCCCAUGUCCAGCACCCGACCUGGGCCCCUGAAGGUCCACAGAGGUGAAGGAGAAACUGGAAAAACCGAGAUGCACAAAAUUUUUUCCAAAUUGGAAGCAGGUAAUACUAAAAUGUACUGUCAACUCCUUCUGUCCCUGGCUCAGCAAGUGACAGCCAGCCAGCCAGGCUCCCAGGGGACACCCCCUUUCCAGCUUUGCUAAGCCGUCCUCCAGUGCAGAGAAGGUGUCAAGGUCAGCAGAUGGCAUGGCCUGCAGAAGGUUUAUGGAGACAUCUCCGGCUUUCCCAGAUUCCUGGCUGCAGAAGUGUGUUCUGAAUGGACACCCUUGGACAUCUGGAAAAAUGAUACUCUCUCACCAAAAAUAGAAGGUGGUUGGGGCAGAAACUGAGACCAGCAACUGCCAUUUUGUGGCUGGGUUCUCCCAGCACCCAGGAAACUUCAUCCCUCAGGCAGAGCCUGGGAUGCCCUGGAGUUGAAAGCACUGCCCAGUGGCGUCCUGUCUGUAGCUAUGGAAACAGAGAGACAGUCGCCUCCCUGUUGGCUUUCGUGCCAGAGACAUCUUGCUGUCAGUUGUGUUUAAAGUUAGCUUGAAAACAACAAGACGAUGCAAGUCUCCUCUUUUGACAUCAUGCAAGGGGCCCUAUGGCACGGAGGCAGCCAUGAAUAUCGCAGUGUGGAACCUGUCACACUCCGUCCCCCGUCCCUGUCCUCAGAGAGAGCUUCCUGUAUGCAUUCUUGUUGCAGUGAUGUCUUGGGCUCUGAUGAGUGCACCCUUCACGCCUGUUCCUGCAUUGGUGCCUUGUCCC
This 973-nucleotide long non-coding RNA is filed under the name Homo sapiens (human). RNAcentral describes it as "HSALNT0258584". Lineage: Eukaryota; Metazoa; Chordata; Mammalia; Primates; Hominidae. The record is from RNAcentral.